This 71-nucleotide transfer RNA is filed under the name Apium graveolens. RNAcentral describes it as "tRNA-Ser". The record is from RNAcentral. RNAcentral also lists the same sequence under 2 other names. Lineage: Eukaryota; Viridiplantae; Streptophyta; Magnoliopsida; Apiales; Apiaceae.
UAGUUCACUAGUUCAUCUCGGUAGAACACAUAUAUGAAAGAUGUGGUUGGGUUCAAAUCCCAAUGAGCUAA